GGGCCUGUAGCUCAGUUGGUUAGAGCAACGGACUCAUAAUCCGUCGGUCGUAGGUUCGAGUCCUGCCAGGCCCA
This 74-nucleotide transfer RNA is filed under the name Flavobacteriales bacterium. RNAcentral's name for it is "tRNA-Met". It matches the Rfam family "tRNA". Rfam says of the family: Transfer RNA (tRNA) molecules are approximately 80 nucleotides in length. Their secondary structure includes four short double-helical elements and three loops (D, anti-codon, and T loops). Lineage: Bacteria; Pseudomonadati; Bacteroidota; Flavobacteriia; Flavobacteriales. RNAcentral also lists the same sequence under 2 other names. The record is from RNAcentral.